This 847-nucleotide ribosomal RNA is filed under the name Staphylococcus hominis. RNAcentral's name for it is "bacterial SSU rRNA". It matches the Rfam family "Bacterial small subunit ribosomal RNA", at positions 54 to 882 of the family's 1533-position model. The record is from RNAcentral. Lineage: Bacteria; Bacillati; Bacillota; Bacilli; Caryophanales; Staphylococcaceae.
UCUAUAAGUCGAGCGAACAGACGAGGAGCUUGCUCCUUUGACGUUAGCGGCGGACGGGUGAGUAACACGUAGGUAACCUACCUAUAAGACUGGGAUAACUUCGGGAAACCGGAGCUAAUACCGGAUAAUAUUUCGAACCGCAUGGUUCGAUAGUGAAAGAUGGCUUUGCUAUCACUUAUAGAUGGACCUGCGCCGUAUUAGCUAGUUGGUAAGGUAACGGCUUACCAAGGCAACGAUACGUAGCCGACCUGAGAGGGUGAUCGGCCACACUGGAACUGAGACACGGUCCAGACUCCUACGGGAGGCAGCAGUAGGGAAUCUUCCGCAAUGGGCGAAAGCCUGACGGAGCAACGCCGCGUGAGUGAUGAAGGUCUUCGGAUCGUAAAACUCUGUUAUUAGGGAAGAACAAACGUGUAAGUAACUGUGCACGUCUUGACGGUACCUAAUCAGAAAGCCACGGCUAACUACGUGCCAGCAGCCGCGGUAAUACGUAGGUGGCAAGCGUUAUCCGGAAUUAUUGGGCGUAAAGCGCGCGUAGGCGGUUUUUUAAGUCUGAUGUGAAAGCCCACGGCUCAACCGUGGAGGGUCAUUGGAAACUGGAAAACUUGAGUGCAGAAGAGGAAAGUGGAAUUCCAUGUGUAGCGGUGAAAUGCGCAGAGAUAUGGAGGAACACCAGUGGCGAAGGCGACUUUCUGGUCUGUAACUGACGCUGAUGUGCGAAAGCGUGGGGAUCAAACAGGAUUAGAUACCCUGGUAGUCCACGCCGUAAACGAUGAGUGCUAAGUGUUAGGGGGUUUCCUCCCCUUAGUGCUGCAGCUAACGCAUUAAGCACUCCGUCUGCUGAGUA